ACAGCGGAACGUGCAAGAAAACAGCCUCGUCGACAUACUUUUGUUUUGUAUAUGAUCGCCCAAUCGACGGCUGCCUUGCCGUGAAUAAUAGUGAUUCAUUUACUGCUGCCCUCUCUCCUUUGAGGGAGGUUUUUUUUUUUUUGAAAAAAAAAAAAAAACUUGCUUUCUAUCUGGUCGGGUGAUAAUCGUGAUUACAUUUGUUCAGAACACCAACGCCACAAGAAUGGAAAUUAGGAGAGGCCCUUUUCUUUAUCUCCAAGAGUUAUCUCCAAACUCCGAUUUUCCAAAAAAAAAAAAAUCUCCGCUUCCUCGAGGGGGCCAGCCAAUUCUCAGCAAGGUGGUGUUUCGGUAUUUCAAUAUUUUCUCCCCUUGAUUCACAUGGGAACGGCUGCU
Molecule: small RNA, 393 nt
Filed under: Histoplasma capsulatum var. duboisii H88
Lineage: Eukaryota; Fungi; Ascomycota; Eurotiomycetes; Onygenales; Ajellomycetaceae
Description: Histoplasma capsulatum H88 hypothetical RNA
Source: RNAcentral